Non-coding RNA from Schizosaccharomyces pombe (fission yeast), 1835 nucleotides. The record is from the annotation of a GenBank genome assembly. NCBI's taxonomy places the organism in Eukaryota, Fungi, Ascomycota, Schizosaccharomycetes, Schizosaccharomycetales, Schizosaccharomycetaceae.
GUAAUGCAUUUAACUCAUGACUUUUAAGUUUAUAAACUAUCAGUUGUUACGGAUACUUUAGUAUGUUAAUUUCGGCAUUCUGCUACAAUCAUUGAAAAUUGGAAAUCUGUACACUUCCUCGAUGUAUGACAAUGCACAACUAACAAAAAUUCAUUUCAUUUCUUCCAGCAUAAAUGAAGGUAACUAUAAACAUGCACAAUUUUAAAACCAUAUACGAGAAAGACUAAAUCUACUUGGGCAUAGGAGGGGUAUCCAUGAAAAUCUUGGAUCCAGCACCAGGAGGAUAUCUAGCACCAAUUACCUCAGCGUUGUCACAAGCUUCACGAAUUUCCUUAACAGUGGCAUCGGAUAAUUUAACCUUGAGAGCGCCAAAGUUCUCCUCCAAGUAUUUAACACGUUUGGUACCAGGAAUGGGAAGAAUAUCGUCACCUUGGGCUAACAACCAAGCCAAACUAAGCUGGCCAGGUGUGAUAUUGUUGGCAGUGGCAAUUUUUUCAAUCUUUGUAACAAGCUCCAAGUUCUUGUAGAAGUUUUCCUUUUGAUAACGAGGGGCCUUUCUGCGGAAAUCGCCCUCAGGGAAAUCAUCAGGGGAUUUGUAUGCACCAGUCAAGAAACCACGGCCAAGAGGGGCAUAGCAAACAAUGGUGAUAUUGUUUUCGCGGCAAGCCUUCAUGACACCAAUUUCAGGGCGCUCAAUCUCCAAAGAGAAGGGAGAAUACUCAACUUGAACGGCACUGACCGGAUAAACAGCGGCUGCACGACGAAUGGUGUUAGCACUGCAUUCAGAAAGACCAAUGUAACGAAUCUUUCCAGCUUCAACGCACUUCUUAAGGGCGCCCAUGAUCUUUUCAAUAGGAGUCUCACCGCUGAAGCGAUGGACGUAGUAAAGAUCAAUGCAAUCAAUACCCAAACGCUUCAAAGAAAGAUCAAGUGCCUUUUCAAUGUAAUCAGGCUCGUUGUUCAAAGAGAGCUCGCCAGUCUCGGGAUUCUUCUCAUAGCCAAACUUGGUAGCCAAGAAAAUCUCCUUACGGCGUCCAGUUUGCUUGAACCAACGACCAAUGCACUCCUCAUUGGCACCAAAUCCGUACAUGUCAGAGCUGUCCCAAAAGGUGCAACCCAAGUCAGCGGCAUGAGUCAAGACAGCUUGGUUGGCUUCUUCGGAAGAAGGCCCAUACAUGGCGUGCAAACCCAUGCAACCAAAGCCGAUUGCAGGCACAGUAUCGUUUCCAAUUUUACGAGUAGGGAUAGACAUUUCUGAAUUCCAAUUUCCUAAUGCUAAUGCGAGUGGUAAUGGGUUUAGUUCACAAAGAAGACUGGCGAUGAAUCAAAGAGAAAAAGGCUAUCUCGAGUUUCUUUACCUUGCAACGUAGAGUUAUGGAGGAAGACAGGUUUAAAAAGAUGCGAGAAAGCCACUAUUUAUUGCAUAAGUUGGGAGGCCUAAGAACCGGUGAUGGAACUUGUACGUUCCCCAUGAUAUCGGAUUAUGGGCCUCGUUCCCUUUUGCAUCACUAAUCUUAUGAAAUUCGGAUUCUGGGUGUAUAUAUCCUUGUAGCGGUAUCGCGGUAUCUUGCAGUAAAUAUCAUUAUACCAUUUAAUAUGAAUUAACAAGAAAGAAUAACAAAGUAAGGGAACGAGACAAGAUGGUCCUAAGAAAGGCUGAGAAAUCACUUUUUUUGCUAGUCAUAUACUUAUUGAAAUAAAAACGGUAUAGUUGCUGUAAUGAAGUUCAGUAGGUGCUGAAUUGCAUCAAUUUAGGUAGUCUGUUUACAUACUUUAGAACCCACUUUUAGCUUGAUUGUGUAUUGUAGUGUCACAGGAACAAAAUACAUUUUCCU